Molecule: ribosomal RNA, 253 nt
Filed under: uncultured bacterium
Lineage: Bacteria
Description: partial 16S ribosomal RNA
Rfam family: Bacterial small subunit ribosomal RNA
Source: RNAcentral
UACGAAGGGUGCAAGCGUUACUCGGAAUUACUGGGCGUAAAGCGUUCGUAGGUGGUUUGUUAAGUCUGAUGUGAAAGCCCUGGGCUCAACCUGGGAAUUGCAUUGGAUACUGGCAGGCUAGAGUGCGGUAGAGGAUGGCGGAAUUCCCGGUGUAGCAGUGAAAUGCGUAGAGAUCGGGAGGAACAGCUGUGGCGAAGGCGGCCAUCUGGACCAGCACUGACACUGAGGCACGAAAGCGUGGGGAGCAAACAGG